Molecule: ribosomal RNA, 331 nt
Filed under: Pediococcus acidilactici
Lineage: Bacteria; Bacillati; Bacillota; Bacilli; Lactobacillales; Lactobacillaceae
Description: bacterial SSU rRNA
Rfam family: Bacterial small subunit ribosomal RNA
Source: RNAcentral
ACCUUACCAGGUCUUGACAUCUUCUGCCAACCUAAGAGAUUAGGCGUUCCCUUCGGGGACAGAAUGACAGGUGGUGCAUGGUUGUCGUCAGCUCGUGUCGUGAGAUGUUGGGUUAAGUCCCGCAACGAGCGCAACCCUUAUUACUAGUUGCCAGCAUUCAGUUGGGCACUCUAGUGAGACUGCCGGUGACAAACCGGAGGAAGGUGGGGAGCGACGUCAAAUCAUCAUGCCCCUUAUGACCUGGGCUACACACGUCGCUACAAUUGAUGGUACAACGAGUUGCGAAACCGCGAGGUUUAGCUAAUCUCUUAAAACCAUUCUCAGUUCGGAC